AGUGAACGCUGGCGGUAGGCCUAACACAUGCAAGUCGAACGGCAGCACAGGAGAGCUUGCUCUCUGGGUGGCGAGUGGCGGACGGGUGAGGAAUACAUCGGAAUCUACCUUUUCGUGGGGAAUAACGUAGGGAAACUUACGCUAAUACCGCAUACGACCUACGGGUGAAAGUGGGGGACCGCAAGGCCUCACGCGAUUAG
This 200-nucleotide ribosomal RNA is filed under the name uncultured bacterium. RNAcentral describes it as "partial 16S ribosomal RNA". It matches the Rfam family "Bacterial small subunit ribosomal RNA", at positions 29 to 224 of the family's 1533-position model. The record is from RNAcentral.